This 507-nucleotide ribosomal RNA is filed under the name uncultured bacterium. RNAcentral describes it as "bacterial SSU rRNA". It matches the Rfam family "Bacterial small subunit ribosomal RNA", at positions 10 to 518 of the family's 1533-position model. The record is from RNAcentral.
AGUUGAUCCUGGCUCAGGAUGAACGCUGGCGGCGUGCCUAACACAUGCAAGUCGAACGAAGCACUUUGUAGAUCCUUCGGGUGAAACAUUAGUGACUGAGUGGCGGACGGGUGAGUAACGCGUGGGUAACCUGCCCUGUACAGGGGGAUAACAGUCAGAAAUGACUGCUAAUACCGCAUAAGCGCACGAGAGGACAUCCUCAUGUGUGAAAAAACUCCGGUGGUACAGGGAUGGGCCCGCGUCUGAUUAGCUAGUUGGCGGGGUAAGGGCCCACCAAGGCGACGAUCAGUAGCCGGUCUGAGAGGAUGAACGGCCACAUUGGAACUGAGACACGGUCCAAACUCCUACGGGAGGCAGCAGUGGGGAAUAUUGCACAAUGGGGGGAACCCUGAUGCAGCCAACGCCGCGUGAGUGAAGAAGUAUUUCGGUAUGUAAAGCUCUAUCAGCAGGGAAGAUAAUGACGGUACCUGACUAAGAAGCUCCGGCUAAAUACGUGCCAGCCGCCGC